Molecule: microRNA, 21 nt
Filed under: Oryza sativa (Asian cultivated rice)
Lineage: Eukaryota; Viridiplantae; Streptophyta; Magnoliopsida; Poales; Poaceae
Description: osa-miR395v
Gene: osa-miR395v
Source: miRBase by way of RNAcentral
GUGAAGUAUUUGGCGGAACUC